CCCUUAGAUGUUCUGGGCCGCACGCGCGCUACACUGACACACUCAACAAGCUUAUAACCUUGUCCGAGAGGUCUGGGUAAUCUUUUGAAUGUGCAUCGUGAUUGGGAUAGAUGAUUGCAAUUUUUUAUCUUCAACGAGGAAUGCCUAGUAAACGCAAGUCAUCAGCUUGCAUUGAUUACGUCCCUGCCCUUUGUACACACCGCCCGUCGCUCCUACCGAUUGAAUGAUCCGAUGAAUAUCAUGGAUUGAGGAUGCAAGUAGGUUAGCCUAUCUUCAUCUUCGAGAAGUGAAGUAAAUCUUAUCAUUUAGAGGAAGGAGAAGUCGUAACA
Molecule: ribosomal RNA, 329 nt
Filed under: uncultured eukaryote
Lineage: Eukaryota
Description: partial 18S ribosomal RNA
Rfam family: Eukaryotic small subunit ribosomal RNA
Source: RNAcentral